CGUAGGGUGUAAGCGUUAAUCGGAAUUACUGGGCGUAAAGCGUGCGCAGGCGGUUGUGUAAGACAGAUGUGAAAUGCCCGGGCUUAACCUGGGAACUGCAUUUGUGACUGCACGGCUAGAAUCUGGCAGAGGGGGGUAGAAUUCCACGUGUAGCAGUGAAAUGCGUAGAUAUGUGGAGGAAUACCGAUGGCGAAGGCAGCCCCCUCGGGCCGAAGAUUGACGCUCAUGCACGAAAGCGUGGGGAGGCAAACAGGAUUAGAUACCCUGGUAGUCCACGCCCUAAACGAUGUCUACUAGUUGUCGGGUCUUAAUUGACUUGGUAACGCAGCUAACGCGUGAAGUAGACCGCCUGGGGAGUACGGUCGCAAGAUUA
RNAcentral lists this ribosomal RNA (373 nucleotides) under uncultured organism. Its description in RNAcentral is "bacterial SSU rRNA". It matches the Rfam family "Bacterial small subunit ribosomal RNA", at positions 526 to 896 of the family's 1533-position model. The record is from RNAcentral.